RNAcentral lists this long non-coding RNA (294 nucleotides) under Salmo salar (Atlantic salmon). Its description in RNAcentral is "lncRNA (ENSSSAG00000088864.1)". The record is from RNAcentral. Lineage: Eukaryota; Metazoa; Chordata; Actinopteri; Salmoniformes; Salmonidae.
UGGGGUAGAGUCCAGUGUAUGGGUAGAGUCCAGUGUGUGGGUAGAGUCCAGUGUGUGGGUAGAGUCCAGUGUGUGGGUAGAGUCCAGUGCGUGGGUAGAUCACAGUGUGUGGGUAGAGUCCAGUGUGUGGGUAGAGUCCAGUGUAUGGGUAGAGUCCAGUGUGUGGGUAGAGUCCAGUGUGUUGGGUAGAAUCCAGUGUGUGGGUAGAGUCCAGUGUAUGGGUAGAGUCCAGUGUGUGGGUAGAGUCCAGUGUAUGGGUAGAGUCCAGUGUGUGGGUAGAGUCCUGUCUGUUGG